RNAcentral lists this ribosomal RNA (372 nucleotides) under uncultured bacterium. Its description in RNAcentral is "bacterial SSU rRNA". It matches the Rfam family "Bacterial small subunit ribosomal RNA", at positions 30 to 405 of the family's 1533-position model. The record is from RNAcentral.
AUUGAACGCUGGCGGCAUGCCUUACACAUGCAAGUCGAACGGCAGCACGGGAGCAAUCCUGGUGGCGAGUGGCGAACGGGUGAGUAAUAUAUCGGAACGUGCCCAGUCGUGGGGAUAACGUAGCGAAAGCUACGCUAAUACCGCAUACGAUCUAUGGAUGAAAGCGGGGGAUCGCAAGACCUCGCGCGAUUGGAGCGGCCGAUAUCAGAUUAGGUAGUUGGUGAGGUAAAGGCUCACCAAGCCAACGAUCUGUAGCUGGUCUGAGAGGACGACAGCACACUGGAACUGAGACACGGUCCAGACUCCUACGGAGGCAGCAGUGGGGAAUUUUGGGACAAUGGGCGCAAGCCUGAUCCAGCAAUGCCGCGUGCA